GUGGGGAAUCUUCCGCAAUGGACGAAAGUCUGACGGAGCAACGCCGCGUGAGUGAUGAAGGUCUUCGGAUUGUAAAGCUCUGUUAAUCGGGACGAAAGAGCCUAGUGUGAAUAAUGCUAGGAAGUGACGGUACCGGAAUAGAAAGCCACGGCUAACUACGUGCCAGCAGCCGCGGUAAUACGUAGGUGGCAAGCGUUGUCCGGAAUUAUUGGGCGUAAAGCGCGCGCAGGCGGAUCUGUCAGUCUGUCUUAAAAGUUCGGGGCUUAACCCCGUGAUGGGAUGGAAACUACAGAUCUAGAGUAUCGGAGAGGAAAGUGGAAUUCCUAGUGUAGCGGUGAAAUGCGUAGAUAUUAGGAAGAACACCAGUGGCGAAGGCGACUUUCUGGACGAAAACUGACGCUGAGGCGCGAAAGCCAGGGGAGCGAACGGGAUUAGAAACCCCGGUAGUCC
Molecule: ribosomal RNA, 450 nt
Filed under: uncultured bacterium
Lineage: Bacteria
Description: partial 16S ribosomal RNA
Rfam family: Bacterial small subunit ribosomal RNA
Source: RNAcentral